This 253-nucleotide ribosomal RNA is filed under the name uncultured bacterium. RNAcentral's name for it is "partial 16S ribosomal RNA". It matches the Rfam family "Bacterial small subunit ribosomal RNA", at positions 524 to 776 of the family's 1533-position model. The record is from RNAcentral.
UACGUAGGGUGCGAGCGUUGUCCGGAAUUACUGGGCGUAAAGAGCUCGUAGGUGGUUUGUCGCGUUGUUCGUGAAAACCUGAGGCUUAACCUUGGGCGUGCGGGCGAUACGGGCAGACUGGAGUACUGCAGGGGAGACUGGAAUUCCUGGUGUAGCGGUGGAAUGCGCAGAUAUCAGGAGGAACACCGGUGGCGAAGGCGGGUCUCUGGGCAGUAACUGACGCUGAGGAACGAAAGCUAGGGUAGCGAACGGG